This 31821-nucleotide long non-coding RNA is filed under the name Brassica napus (rape). RNAcentral describes it as "long non-coding RNA (BNAP_LNC008510)". The stretch from base 486 to 570 matches the Rfam family "Small nucleolar RNA R32/R81/Z41". Lineage: Eukaryota; Viridiplantae; Streptophyta; Magnoliopsida; Brassicales; Brassicaceae. The record is from RNAcentral.
CUUGGGUCGAUGAGGUUUGGGACGACGAUGAUGAUGAUGACGGGAAAGUACUACAUGGCUUCAAGGUCUGUUUGAAAGUGUGUAACAACGACGACAUCGCUAAUCGAUCGCGUUGCCAGAGAGAGAGAAAGUCGAGUGCUUUCUUCGAGAAGUUGAAAAAAGUUGUAUUUUUUAGAAAAUUUAAAACUUAUUUCCUUUUAUUCGAGUUAUUAGAAAAUAAAAAGGCAAAAGGGAAAUUAACAUGUUCAUUAAAUCGGGAACGGUUUCGAGUAAUGGGCCGACCAAACUAAGCCCAAACUGUACUUUUGUCCUAACAUGGUUUUAGGUUUAGGGUUUCUUGUCCCUCUCCUGUAUAUAUAUCAAUGUCUAAUUCAUAUCUCCAGAGAUAAGACGCCAAUCUUCUUCUAAUCACCUUUUAAUUGAUUUGUUCUCUCGACUCAUUCGAUUUCUUAUUUGUCAAUUAUUUUGGUUUUCAAAACGUUUUGUUAUGAAAGUGAUGAAAGUUGUAGAUAGGUGAUGAUCUUAUGAUCGAUAAAAAUUUCAACUCGCUACGUUCUUUCUGAUUCUUACCAGUUUACUAAUUUGUUUUCUUCAAAGUUCUUUUUUAUUUGCUCCCCUGCUUCACCUUUUUUGUUGAAAGUUUUGUUUUCUCUCAUGAAAAAAAAACUAACGAUUUUGACUCGGUUCAAUUGGAUUUUGCUAUUUUUGGAACAUGGUAAUGCUGGAGAAAUGAUGAUAAAUCAGUAUAAAUCUUAGGACACCUUCUGACACACCUGUGUAUGAGAAUGACGUGUUGUUCUGAUCUUCAGUUACUUUUCUUUUUCCCUUUUUGUCACCCCAGUACAUUUUUUUUGUUUGCAUAUCCUUCAAACAAUUACUUUUGUUAAUUAAAAUAGAUGUUCAUUCUUUCUUCAAUUUGUUUCUGAGAAUUUGAUAAUUCAAAUCCUAAUUGAGAGAGUAUCUAGAAGUUUUCUAAAGCCGCAGUGAGAUUAUGAUGGCAAUGUUAAUACCACCAAUAUACUAUUACCACAACAUUAAAGUUUGACUUGCACCAUAACCACUAUAAAAACAAUAUUCAAAUCUGUAUAUGUACACGGCAGAUCAAACUCUAUAAUGACACCUUAUAUAUACAAUAAUCUAACCAAACGAUCUCGGCUUGAGCCUUAAGGACCGUAAUUAUUGCGUAUAAUCCAAAUAUAUGAAUUACCAAACUCCCUUUGAGCAACUCUGCUAUUUUACUCUGGUUUCCAAGUUAGAAGACAAUGCUCAAGUUUAAUUAGUUUUAUGAUUUACUCACAUCAGUUUUGCCUUCUCGUGACUUCUUUGCUUGUCUAUUAAAUUCCUGAAGCUGUAUGUCAUGUUCUUCAAGCAUCUGAUCCACUCUGCUUGGCUGAGCCAACAAUGGUCUUGACAUGUAAAUAUUGCUGUCACUAGGAUUAUACUGUACGCAUAGAAACACAACAAUUGUAAGUUUAAAAACACAUUUUUAUCAAAUGGAAAUAAUCAAAACAGAGUUCAUUAUCUAACCCAAGCCAGGUCAACUGGUGUUGUCAUACGUCUACUAUCCAUAGUGUCAGCUCUAUUAUACACUCGUCGAUCUAUUUUUCUUUGAUCCAUAACUGGUUGAUCUAGCAAUGCUUUGGAGGAGAGUGAACUUGUUAAUAUCUUAGGGUUUACUCUAGAUGGAGGGUAUCUAGGAGCAGGUACAUUCUCUUUCACAUGGAUUGUUGACUUAGCCAUAUUCCGUUUGCUCAUGAAUGGACCCGAGUGUGAACCUCUCUCACCAGUUUGAUUGUUUCUAGUAUUCAUAUUUUGAUAACCAGGAACUUGGCCAUUAGGAGUCCUCUCCUCCUUAAACGACUUGAAACUAUCGUUUCUCCUCUUCAAAUCUAGGUAUUGUUUCUGCAUUUUGUCACAAAAAGUGAAUUGGUAGCCAUUGUGGCCUUGAAAGUUAGUUAGGACCAUAUCACAGUUACUUACCUCUAUGGUCACUGAUAGAUGAUUAGCUUUGAUAGGUGGGACAUAUUUUCUCUUGUGUGAUAUCGCCUGAGACUCUUGCCGUUCUUGUUUCUCCACCAUUUGUCGUUGCGUUUUCGCUUCAUCGCGCUCAUUAGCAUCAAUCUCUUUGCUCGGAGGAUAUUUUGGUAGACAAGAUGGAUCACAAGCAAAUGGCUUGGUUUUAAAGUACUGAAAAAAAAACAGUUGUAACCAAUGUUCAAAAAAUCACUAGGCAUAUUUAUAACCGAUAUUUUAUUAAAGAAUUAUUAGAUAACUUAUUAUAUAUUUUGUAUUUAUAUCUGAUAUUUUAUUUUUUGAGGUUUAAUUAUAAAAAUAUUUUAACAAAUUGUAUUUUUUUUUAAAUAGACAUAACUUGUGGACUUUCAUUAACCUUGUUGUUUGAUUUAAAAUAAUUUAGACUGAUUUGAACCAAUUUGAGAUAGAUUAAACCAGUUGAGCUAUUUAUAUUGGAUUUUGAAAAAAAAAAAUCAUUUCGGCUAUGAUCAAUUUGCCGUUUAAACCGAUUUCUUAGAACCGUGGUUGUAACUAACGAUGCAUACCAAGAAGAGAGUAAAACGUCAGGCACAAGUUACCUCACUUUCAAGGGCACUAUCUGCAGAGUUCCGGUGAUCAGGGUCUAUAGAGAGCAAAGUCUCUAAAAGCAAAAGAACACUCGUGGGAAAGUCCUUAAACAUCUCUGAUAGUUUCCGCCUAUAAGGAACCCUACUUCUGAAUCCAGCUGAAGACGGUAAGUUAUGUUUUCUCCAGUAACUUUCAGUUGGUGAACCACAUAGCUUAAAGAUUUUAUGCAACUGUUCUACCUAUAAAGAACAAGUGAUGAGUAACUUCAAAAACAUGCAACCACCAAUGCGUAGUAAGCAAUGAAUGUGCAUUUACCUCGGUUUUUCCUGGUAGGAUCGGUUUACCAGCGUAUAAUUCACCUAAGAUGCAACCUGUGCUCCAAAGAUCAACUCCAACACCGUAAUGAGAAGCUCCAAGCAAAAGCUCUGGUGGUCGGUACCAAAGAGUGACAACAUGGCUAGUCAAUGGUAUAGUUUUGGCAGGGUCGAAGAAAGUUGCUAACCCGAAGUCUGCUAUCUUCAAGACUCCAUUACGGUCGAUCAGAAGAUUUGAGCCUUUUAUAUCUCGAUGAAGAACACCACGGCUGUGACAAUGUUCAAGCCCACUUAGAAGUUGUUGCAUGUAACAUUUAACCUAGAAACAUAAGAGUAAUAAUACCUUUAAAUAGCACCAAAUUAUGUUUCUAUGGUAAGAUUAGCAUAUAAGAAAAAAAAUUCUAAAAAUAGCAUUAACUAAAAGUUAAAAUAUAUUUUAUUUUAUAUCUGGAUUUGACUUUAGUGAAAUUCAUGGUUAGUAUAUAGGGAUAGGAGAGGUGGGAUUAUGUUCUAGAAACUAGAAUAAUUUAAUAUUUUUCAUGUUAAAUCAAUGCUAUUUUGAGAAUUUGUUUAUUCAGUGUUAUUUUAAAAAACUUUUAAAAUGUGCUAUUUUUGACAUGUUGGAGUAAGCAAGCAUUUACGUGCAAUAGUAGUAGUACCUGAGGCUCUGAGAACUUAACACCGGGUAGUGAAGAAAGUCCUAAGAGAUCAUGAUCCAUGUACUCGAAUACUAAGUAGAGUGAUGAUGAAACAUGGUCAGUGAUCAAUGCUUCUAGUUUCAGGACAUUAGGAUGAUCAAGCCGUCGCAUUACUAUGAUCUCUCUCGCCAUAAACUUGACACUUUCUAUGUCAUUAAGAUCAAACCUGACUUUUUUAAGCGCAACGAUCUUGUUAUGAAUAAGAUCACGUGCCCUGUAGACGCUGCUAUAUGUUCCUUGACCAAUCUGUAUGCACAAGAUUAUGUUUAACUAAACAUGGGUCUGGAUUAAAGAGAGUUUGUAAUAAAAGAAACUUACUUUCUCAAGUUUCUCAAAGGUGCUUGCUCGACGUGGAGCCCAGUCUACUAACGCCUCACCAGCAACAGAGACUAGCCAAGUAGGCCAUGCCUGCUUCAACUCUAUGUCUCUUGAAACGAUAAGACUCUGGUUCUUUUUCACUUCCCAAGGAACAGCUUGAACCGAAGCUUCAGCCCCAAGAUUCUCUGGUUCCUUCUCAACAUGAUGAUGAUCAGAAAACCUUUUGGAACUCAACUUUUGAGACUCAACCAACCGAACUUUGGAGUCGUUGCUAUUCCAUUGGUCUAGCUUCUGUUUUAAAACAUUCGGACCAAUCUCCAAAUCAUGUUUUACAACAUCACUCAAGCCCCUUGUCAAUUCCUGAUCAUGAUCCAUAUGAACUUUGGAAUCUCUGCUAUUCCAUCGAUCUAGCUUCGGUUUCGUAACAUUCGGACCAAUCUCCAAGUCAGGUUCUACCACAGCACUCGAGGCCCUUGCCAACUCCUGAUCAUGAACAGCUUGAACCACAUGAUCAACUAUCUCAGGAUGAUCAUUAAACCUAGUGGAACUUAACGUUUCGGAGUCAACCAACUUAUCUUUGGCUUCUCCCCUGCUACUCGAUCUAUCAAACCCAUCUCCCUGUUGAAUCCCAUCAUCUAUCCUCGGAGAAUCAAUCGCCGAGGAACGUUUCACGGAUGACUCCUUCAGUGUCGAUUUUCUUCUGAAAAGCCUAUGUUUAGAACUUACGCAACCCAUGGUAAAAGAUACCCUGAAGAGAUAAAAAAGAGAUCAGAAUGAUUCAAAACCCAAAAAUCUAAGACAAGAGAUUCAAACAGAGACAUUACCUGGAUGCUUGAACGUUCAAAGAGGGAACAAAGAGAAAAAUCUAUGCAUAAGGAGAGAUCUUUAUUGUUGUUGUUACAUGUUUGACUGAUUAAACGCAUACGUAGAGCCAGUCGGUCACAUCAUCGGACGGUAUAAAUUAAUUAUAAACAAACAUCUACUAGAUAAAUGUCAGCCGCCUUUGGUCAACGAGAUAGAUCCUUUUCCACAUUAUCUGUCUCUCCUCACUCCUGUAACUAUUUUAUAAUUUGUCUUGAGAAAUUUCGGUUUAUAUGAUUGGAAAGUGAGUGAUAAUUGAUUUUUGAAAAGGUUUGGUAGCAUGGUAAAAUUGUUUUGGUCAAGGUAGGCUGUUCGAAAAAAGUCAACGUAGAUGCUAUUUAAAAGUACGAUUAAUUUAAAAGAAAAUAAUACUCCUCUCAAGUCUUGGUCCCCGCUUGCAAUUGCAAGACUACUUGUUUUGACCAAGUUCUUUUGUUUAACUUACUCCAACUAAAUCGUUUGUUUAACCAUAUAAAAGUUCACAAGUUAUCUAAAUAGUACGUUCUAUCUUUAAUUAAGUUCUCGGAAUUUAUACCUAAACAAUAUAAUGAAAAUAGUGAAACUAAUGAAGACAAAUGAAUAUCAAGAACAAGAAGGAUAGUAGACCUAGGCACGGAUCGGAUAUCCAGAUUUUUGAAAGUAUUUGUGAUUUGCUUCGUACGCUACGGAUAUCUAAUUUUUUGAUUUGAUUUGUUUCGGAAAAAUACAGAUAUUCGGAAAAAUACAUAUACAGAAAAUAAAUAGAUAUUUGCGGAUAUUUACGAAUACUUACAGAUAUUUCAAAUGUUUUGAUUAAUGCAAAUAAUCUUAAAAAUUUAAUAUAAAUUUGUUUUAUAAAAUAUUUUUUGCAUGAUAUAUAAGAUAAAAAUUAAAAGAAAUAAUUUACGUAUUUUAUAAUUUUUUUAAACUUAGUUAACAAUUAUAAUAAGACAAAACUUUAAAAAAAAUUAUAGUUGUCAUAAAUUUAUUCAUUUCCUUUUAUGUAAUAUUUUUAUAUAAGUAAUAAUGUGAAUAGAAUUUGUCAAAUCACAUGUUAGAAUAACAAUGAUAUAAUUUUAUAUAUUUAAAACUUUAAAUAUAAUCAAGAUAUACAUGUAUUUAUAUAUUACCAGAUCGGAUAUACGAUUCCUAAAAUUUUAAUAUUUGUGAUUUGCUUCGAUUUUAAUGGAUAUUGAUUUUUAAUAUUUGUUUUACCUCAAAUAUUUAUGGAUAUCCGGAAUUUUUGAAUCGAAACGAAUAACGAAUCGAAUCAAAUUUAACGGAUAAAAUGUCCAACCUUAAAUGAUAGUUAAUAAGAAGCUAAAUACGAAUACGAAAGAAGUCAGAAUUAUGAUUCGGAAGAUACUGUUUGACUGAGACAUAGGGAAGAUUACUAAAAUAACACACAUUUUAUGAGUAAUGACUAGAAUAACAUACUUUUUUUUUUAAUUACUAGACUAUUUUUUAUGCCCAGAAUGUCCUUGUUUUCUUUGUUAACAAAAAAGAAAAUUUACAAAAAAAAAAUUUACAGAAAAAAAAUAUUUUCGAAAUAUAUAAAUAAGUCUACUAUUAAAACUCUGUGACAUGUAAUGGCAGUUUUAUUAGUACGUGACAGAUUAAUAUUUUUCAACAAACUUAUUGUGGCAGAUUUUAUAUCGUUAAAGACUUUCUGAAAAAGUCUACCACACAUUAUGGUAGAUUUAAUUUCAAUAGCAAAUUUGUUUUUAAAUGCCAGGUUUUUAUAGCAGAUUUUUGUCUUUUGAUGGCAGCUUUAUAAUAUUUCGAAGACUUUCAUAAUCGCACACAUAUUUUUCUCACAUACUUUUUAUAAUUUGGCAGAUUUUUGUGUUCAUGAGAUCGCAGACUUAUAUUUUAUGUAUGCUAAGCUGCAGACUUAUAAACUAACAAAAGUAACUUUUAUGUGAUGGCAGACUUUAACAUACGUUAUGGCAGACUUUGAAGGAGUUAUAUGUUAUAGCAGACUUAUUCGCGAAAAUCGGUUUACUAAUUAGAUUUAGAUCAAUUCUGGGUUACUAAUUAAACCAAAAAAUUCGACCACUAACCGGAACAGUUAUGAAAACCUAGGUUUAGCCGUAGUCAGUUCUUUCUUCUCCAAGUAACGAUGUCUUGUUUUUGACAAUAGAUUCUUUCAUGUUAAUCCCAAGAAAUUCAAUGAUGGAUGUUAUAGUUGUUUGUGGCCAGUGGUUAUUCGAGAAUGAUAAAUGGAUGUUUCACGUUGAUAGCAGAAGAGGAAGCAAAGUAAUUCCAGUGAAUGACGACACAAACUUGGAAGAUAUGAUUAACAUGGUUUAUGAGGACUACGACUUAGACAGAGGCCAUGUUAAUCUCGAAUUGAGUUACAUGCUUAGCAGGAAAAGCUUGAUGAAGCUAACUCAUGACACACCUCCAGUUAAAAUUGGGAAUUUUCGACAAUUUCAAGGUUUCAUCCGUCUCCGAAAGUCUGACCAAGUCCGUCUAUGUGUGGAAGUCUCUCUAAGAAGCAACAAGAAAACGAAAAAGACACAGACACUGAUGGAAAACCAAUCUGAUUAUAAUCAUGAUGAAGACACAGACACUGACGGAGAACGAUUUGACUAUUGCGAUGAUUCAGAUGGUGCUACAUCAGAUGACGAGGACUUUAUAGGGUACGGAUUAACUCCAAAAUUAGAUAUAGAGAUGAAGAAGGAGUAUAAGCCAAAGAUUGGGUCAGCAACAAAAUCGAAAAAGGCUAAGGUAGUCACUCAUGUUAGGCAACAACUGGAUUCUAUAGAUAUAGUUGUUGGCCAAAGUUUUGACUCCAAGUCUUCAUUAACAACACGACUUAAGAUCUUGACGAUAGUGCAAAAAUUUGAUUAUGAUGUUGAGUACUCAACGCCGACUCUUCUAAUCGUAAAGUGUUGGAUUGAAGGCUGUAGUUGGAAGUUAAGAGCAUCACCAACAAGUGAUAGUCCUCGCUUUACCGUACGCAUCUAUGUUUCUGAACAUACUUGUUCAGUUACAGAACGAUCAGCUCGUUGCAGACAAGCAACACCUGAGAGUGGCUACCAUGAGUUACCUGUGUAUCUGCACAUGAUUAGAGAAGCCAAUCCUGGGACAUUCACUCGCCUUGUAGUAGAUUCUAGUGACAGAUUUAAGUACCUUUUCAUUGCAUUUGGUGCUAGCAUCAAGGGCUUUCCAUUCAUGAGGAAGGUUGUUGUGGUCGAUGGCACAUUCUUGCAAGGCAAGUACAAAGGAACUCUACUAAUUGCGUCAUCACAAGAUGGCAACUUCCAGAUAUUUCCAAUUGCAUUUGCGAUAGUCGAUACUGAAAACGAUGAAUCAUGGAAAUGGUUUUUCAAGCAACUCAGCUGUGUGAUACCAGAUGACGAAAGACUUGCUAUUAUUUCUGAUAGACACAAAUCAAUUGGCAAUGCAAUAUCCGAGGUCUAUCCAUCUGCUAGCCGUGGAGUUUGUACUUACCACUUGUAUAAGAAUGUCUUGUUAAAGUUUAGAGGUCGCGAGUUGUUUGGUUUGGUUAAAAAGGCAGCUAAUUCAUUCAGGCUUUCAGAUUUUGAGACCAUAUUUGAUGAGAUCAAAGCAAUGCACCCGGCUCUGCAUCGCUAUUUGCAGAAAGCAGAUGUAAGGAAGUGGGCACGAGCUCAUUUCCCUGGUGAUAGGUACAACUUGACUACAACCAACAUAGCUGAAUCUAUAAACAAAGUGCUUUCAGAAGCAAGAAACUUGCCGGUUGUAAGACUUUUAGAAGCAAUAAGGCUAAUGAUGACACGAUGGUUUUCGGCACGGAAGAAUGAUGCAUAUUUGAUGAAAACAAUUCUAACUCGUGGAGUUGAGAAGCUUUUAGAGGUACACUUGAGUUCCUAUAACACAUGAAUAUUUUAUGAACACGAAACUAAUGUUGCAAACAUACUUUCACAGGGAAACUUGCCGGUUGUAAGUAGAUAACUAAUCCGAAAACAUGAAAAUACUACAGACCCGAGACCUCAUCAUAGAUCUCAGCAGCUAACUUAAUACGCAUUGCCGGAAUGCACUGGUCAGAAAGUCCUUCAAAACCACAGCCAACUGCCUUACACUCUAUAUACUUCAGAGCGUAAACACCACAAUCCCCAGGGGCUUCAUUCUUAGGCACACUUUUAGGUCUUGAAAUCCUGAACUGUUGUGAACUCUUCUUUCUUUCUGGAACCAUUUCAUUCAGCAAUAACGGAAUCAUCUUCGUGAAAGGACGACACUCUUCUAGAAGAUCUGUGAUGCUCGGGACAACUGUCUGUAUGCUGUCGUAGACAUGAAUUAUUUUCUUGUCAAGAUCCACUUCUAAAGCGACCCAGUGGUUACCAUUGAUCAAGUGGCAAAGAAACAACCGAUCAACAUCCUUCAGCCACUUUCUGUUGUUGGAAAACUCUUCAGGAUAAUUGCCAUUGAAGACCUUCUUGUACGUAUCUGAGAACUUCCAUGUCUUAGGAUCGUAUUUCUUGUAGUCUCUGACCCACGUAUUGACAAACCAGUGGUCAAGAAAAGCUAUCCUUGAUGAGUAUGGUGAAGGGUUCCUCAUAGAUCUUUUAUGAAACAUAAGCAUUGCAGAUGCCAUAUGCUGUCAACCAAAAAAAAUAGAGUGUAUGUUAGCUACUCGGAAUCAUGUUGAUACAAGAAAAAAAUGAAAAACUUACAGAAUCUGUUAGCCACCCACACUCAUCUGUUUUCCAGAGUUUUCUUGGCGUUAUUAGCUUCAUGUAGAAGUGAGUGUCUACAUCGUUAUCACCACUGAAAUGAAUGAAAAACAAGCUCAAGUUAGUCUAACAGUUUGAAUUAUGAAAAAAAAAAAAAGACAUGUUACUUAUUACACUUACGCAAUACUUCGUAGAUAAUCCAUUAGCUUCUGAAAUUUUGCCUCCUCAACUUUAGUUAAGGGAUCACAGUCGGCUAUACUCUCAGAAUCGCCUGUUAUGAUCCUCUUCACAGUUGAGUUACCAACAUAUGGAUACACUUGAGUCUUAGUCAGUUGUGGCUUGCGUUUAUGCAAAGGUCCUUCUAAAAGUGAUGCCGCUAACUGGUCUAACGUGGUACCUAGGAUGUCAUAUUUUUGCUUAUCUUCUAAAUCAGACCAUGUUUCAGCAGAAUCUCUAAGUUGUGGAACUGCAUUCUUCUCCUUCUUAACGUUUAUCAAACCUCCAGCAGGUUCUUUUACUUGAUUUUUUCUAGUAACCUUCCCUCCAACAGUGUCAAGUAGAAUAGGAGACGUUAGCUUGACCUCGGAUUUCUUGGCUUUCUUUCUAACCACACACUGCACUGCCGCAUCUACAUCAAAUGGUGUCUUGUCUUGGACCAUCCAUGACUAUUUGAGUAUGUCAAAACCAAUUUCAAGUUAAUUUCGAAUCUAAAGUUACUUUAACCUAAAAUAGACAUACUCAUAAGUGAAGCAAAAGACUAACCGGGUCAUUGCUGUUGACUUCAUCUUCUUGGUUUACAAUGUGUCCAUCAUUUUUGGGGGCAGUUUCUUGCAUCUGCUCUGUAAUUUUAGCAACUUGUUCUUGUAAUGCUAAGAUUUGACUGCCAAGUACCUGCUCGGCUUGAGCAACUCUUGCAUUUACUUUUGCUUCAAUCUUUGUGUCUAAUGUAGUCAACACCUUCUCAGCAACAACUGUGUCCACAUUUUGAACCGUUGCAGUCAAUGUCUUCACUGCUUCCAUUAGAUCAUGCCUGAAUCCAUCAUCUCCACCUGAGUUAAGGCUGGAUCCACAGUCCUGCCAUAAAACAGUAAACGAACUCAACAAUAAACUCAAGUAAAAAAUAAAGUACUUUCAGCACGGCUUCACAAACUAGACUAAUCAAUACAUACAAGUAAACAAUCUUACAAGUAAACAAUCAAGCAUACUCACUGUGAUUUUCCUCUUCGCUGAAUUUUUUUUCUUCAUGCAAUGAUCUUCUUCAGUCACUAAAUUCCUUUGCUUUUUGAUUGCUACUGGUUCAUUAGUUGCCUUCAAGCUCCAGUACUUAUCAUCAAGCUGGUCAUGUAGAAUGUCUAAAAUCAAGUUAUGAAGAUCAUCAUCAACCUUGUCAUCAUCCCAUUGAGGAUAUAUGUCCGAUUCUGCCUUAACAAUGAGAUGUCUGACACGCACCUACCAAUCAAGUCAUGUAAAAAACAUUAGUAUGAAUACAUUUACAAGUGAUAUCUUUUAAUAAGAGUUAACAAUAAUGUAAGAAACUACCUUCUGGUGAGCUUUUUUCUCUUUUUUAUAAAACAAAUCCCACUGUAUACGGGGACGGGAUGCAGACCAAGAGAGAAGAGGAACUUGGUUACCCUCAAUAUGGUUCCCAUAUUCAUGCCCAAUGCCAGGUAUUGAUUCAUACACCCAGAUGAGAAGAGCAUGAACACAUCCACGAAGUGUAUAUUUCUUCUUUCCUUCAUAUGAAACAAGCUUAACUGAAUUAACGAGGCUGGAAAAUCCGACACGCCCCCAAGGAUAUCUUUCAAAAGCUUCUGCGUCUAGGACUCUCUUCGCUUCUUCUAAAGGAAUUCUGCUACCAGGAGAGAUGCCUAAUAUGCCAAUCGAUAAGACACAAAGCCAGCCAAUCAUUCUUCUCUUCUCAAAUGACCAAUUCCUAAUGCGAGGAAACAAUUCGCGCAACUCAGAUAACAUUGGACCAUGUGAAGGAGACACACCCAUCUCUUCCCAAAACGCCUUAUGAUCAACCUCCACCUUAUCAUUAAUGUCGAAAGGGUCGCAAUUCAAACCUGUUAUUUCACCAAACUCAUAUAGCGAAAACCUGAUUGGCUGUCCUUCUAUUGCAGACCAUAGCUCAUGAAGAUUAUCCACGACCAGUUGGUUUGCCAGCAAAUGGUGAACGACUUGGGCUGACCAUGUAUAAUCCAUCUCUUUCAACCUUAUAAUAACUCCAACAGAAGAUGCCUUAAUGGAUUCCCACGCAUCCAAACCAACAGAUUCCUCCACCAUCUGCAAACCAGCCAAGUGACAGUUAUGAUUCAUUGAUCGAUAUUGCAGUGGACAUUUUCCCUCUUCAUAAAGUCUUUCUGGAUAUUUUUUGUGGGUGCUUGAUGUAGUCAUAUCUCUGUAAAUAAUGAACAAUGAAGUAAGGGACACACAAGUUUUAUAUUUCAAGAAAUCCAAUUAUAAAAAACCCAAAAAACUAAGAAAGAGACUAAACCUUGAUGCCACGAUUUCUUGGUCAAUUGAAUAGCUUCAAGAGGAGAUGAGGUUGUAUCUAAAGAAACAACUGAGAAAACGUAAAUAAAGCUACGACCUUCGACGAAACUUUGAACUUUAGAAAGGGGAUUUAGGGUUCGUCGGCCGAGUGGAUGAGGAAUCGAAGGCUUUUAGUGGUAGAGUAGAGUGUCGACAUGACCCAAUCGAUGAGGAAUCAUCUUAAUAAGAAAGUGAAUCGAAAUUUUGAGGAUUACACAAUUUGGGGAUUUAGGGUUCUUGGGGAGGAGGGUCACGGGAAAGAGAAAGUGUCGUGGGGGAGAAAAUGUUUUUUUUUUUUACCUUUUUUGUUCAACCAAAGCUUCUACUUUAUCUAGAGUCUUUCAUUUUCUGAAUUAAAAAGUUAUAUUAUGUUUAAAUAUAUUUCUUGAUUGGGUAUUUUGGACAUUAACUCACUUUUUUCUUCUUUCUUUGUUUUGGUAUGUUAUUCUAGUCAUUACUCAUAAAAUGUGUGUUAUUCUAAGUAAUUUCCCAUAAAAAUAUCAAGUUGCCAAACACAAAUACGUAAACGCUUGUUUUUGUAUGUACAUAUAGUCUUUACAAUACCUAGGAAAUAUAUUUUUAAUCUACUGGCUCACACGACCGCACGAUGUCUUUAGAUAAUGACCAACUCAUUUACUUUUUAUUGACAACAAACACUUGCUUCAGAGAAAACUAAUCUGUCUUACUGUAUAUGUUACACUUGCUCAGCUAUCAUGGUUACAUAUUUGUUCAGUUGAAGCAUGGUUAUGGCCUUAUGGGUACACCCACUGGAGUCUCUAUAUGGCUCGGUAGCCUCGGUUAAAAGACAAAUUUGAUUUGUGAAGCAAGGGAAGCCGAAGCCGUCUCUAUAGUAAUCUCUGAAAAAUCAGCAUGGCAAUUGUGUAGUGACGACGAGGAAAUGCAUCACCAUUGAGUAGGUUCCUCUCUUGGCCAUCUUGAUUCUUGACAGAUAAUUUAAACCCCAAUUAAGCUUAGUUAAUCUGCUUCUUCCUCUCUAACCUAUAUAUUGUACGUUGUGGUAAUGCACGAAAGAAAUUGAAGACACUCGCAUUGAUAUCCGCAACACCAUGUCGUAUUCUUCUCCUUUGUGUCAAAUGCAUUACGGAUAAUAUAUAAUAUAUCAUGGUUUCCAUCUUGAAAUACACAAUUACAGAUUCUCAACUUGUAUGAAUAGCUAGUGUUUGAUCUUAUGCUGAUAAAUAUUUUCAUUAAUAUAAAAUAUGGCUUGAGCGGUAAUCGUUAAGAAGUAUCGUCCUGUUCUUUCUCAUCUUCUAAUUAAGACUUCAAAAGAAAUUAUAUAAACAUAAAAAGAAAUGACUUCUCUAAGUCUUAAAUUACUUAAUUAUCAUUAAAGAUAGAUGAUUCGUCCUUCUUUUUUUGUUCUUGUCGGCUAACAUAAGCUUAGAGGCCCUAUUAAUUGAGACAAACCACAAUUUUUUAAAGAAAGACAAAACGCAUUUGUUUGCUUGUUUAUUCCUAACUUCAUAUACGACUAAACCAAAAGAAUCUACUUACGUCGUCUUAAACAUAUUUAUGGGAAAAUUACCUUACACAGGAAUUGUCUUUCUUCAUAAAUUCCGGAGAGGAAAAAUAAACAAAGAAGGAAUACAUUUUUAUUUUUGGUAAACAGUUAUUUAUACUUAUCUAGUUUGUGACAUUAAUGGAAAUUAGAUAUAUAGGUUUCGAAUGUUAUGAACCGCUCCCCGCCUUGCACCGCAGUUAAGAGUAACAAAUUUUUUUAUUUAUAUCAUACACCUAUACAUUUUUAUAACUGUUAAAAUUGCACCGCAGUUAAACCGUCCCGCACCGCUCAAACCACAAUUACCGUUUGGAGCCACGCCUCUAUCAGUUCACGCAUUUUUCAUGCAAUAUGCAUUUGUUCUCAGUUUCCAUAUAUGGAUUAUCGUGAAAUCGGGAAAUAAAUAAAGGAAACUGUAAGCGCGUGUUCUCCACUAGAAACCUCCAAAGCGACGAGUGUAAAUCACGCUCUUUGAUGUGAGAGUGAAACUCACGAGGACUACUAAUCUAUUUCCUCCAAAUCAGAAGACUUUUCUCCAAAUCUUUCCUUUCUUCUUUUCUCUUUCAGCUUCAGACAAAUCCCAAAUCACGGAGAUUUCAAUUUCAGACAAGAGUACAAAGUCCCCUCUCAAGAAAAAAAAAAAUAACACACUCAGAUCUCCAGAUGGUGGAUUCUCCAAGAGCAUCGAGUUCAUCUUCUUCGUUACCUCCUCCAAGAUCGUACCUCAUCUUUAUGCGAAUCAUGAGCAAGAGAAGGACAUGGGUCUGUCUCUUCGUCGCCGUCUACGCCAUUCUCCUGUCCUCCUCGUGGAACUUCUUGAGAUCCGUGCUCAGCUGGUACAAGCUCCAGUACACGUCGUCGCCUUCGCCGCCGUCUCGAAUACCGGCGGUUUACGCUUCUGUGGUGCUGGGAGCAGUGUUCGGGGCGAUGUCGAUGGUUGCGGCGGCGGCGGUGGCUGUUCCGGCGGUUAUGGUGAUAUGGAUAUCGGUGGUUGUGUUGCUAGCUUUCUUUGGGAAGUCGAGGAGAGAUUUGGUUGUUGAGGCUCGGAAGAUUACGAGAGAAGUGUUUGGGUUUGUGUUUAAGGUUCUUUUGAAAGAGGGCAAUGCUGUUGCUGCGGUUUGUGCUGUUUUGGGUUAUUUUCUUCUUAUUAGAAAGGAUUUUGAUUCUGUUUAAGUGUUUAUUUAGAAGGGUUUUUUUCUUGGAAUCUGACGAUUUUUAUGAUGAAACUUUGGUUCCCAUUUUGUUUCUUGUUUAACCUUUUGUUAAUGAAGUAAUUAGCAAUGUUUAUGUACAUUUUGUGACCAUAUAACAGGAGAUGUUCACGAAAUCAUUAUUUUCUUGAAAUCGUGUGAAGUUGUUAAAGAUUUUGAGUAACUGUUCAGCAUGUUUGCUUGCUUUGUUUUGUUGGGUAAGGUUCAUGGUUAGACCGUCCUUGUACCCCAACAAACCAAAUCGAACCGAGACAAAAAGAAUUUAAUUUGAUUAUAUAGUUGUAAGUUAUUUAUAACAUUUCAUAAUAAAAAAGAAAUUCCAUUGUUGUAUUAAAGAUAAAUCUUCAUGGAGCAAAAUGUUUGUUUUGGAGUGAGGUGUUGCACUAACUUGGGUGAGUGUUGCUCAUGAUCACUGUUACACUUCAGUAAUGCAUCAACCAUUAGAACUUACAUGAAGGCAUCAUAAUCUUUGUAUCUGAUGUAAUCAAAGCCCUGCCCGGAAUCUAUCAUGUGUCCUUACUGGUUGCGUUGUUAGCAAAUGUUGAUGGUGUUUCUCACUUUACGAGUUAUGGACCUGCCCAUUCUUAAGCGUCGUCCUGUUAGCGAGUCCAGAAGUACGACCAAGGCUUCCUCGACUGCAUCGGCUUGUUUGUCUAAACCGUAGCUGCUUAACUGUGGGAGAAGGCUCAGCUCAGAGAGGAGUCCGAUUGCUGCUGCUGCGGUGCAAGUCCGGUCCCAUGAUGGUUGUGGUCUGUAGAGUAAAAGAUAUUCUGAGUUUUGGAACUGUAACAUGAGUAAUAUAGAGAUUUGAGAAUGUUGUUACCUGAGUUUGUGCAUUGCUGAUGCACCGGUUGCAAGAGAUAUGCAAGGAAGAUCUUCAUCUCCCCAUACUGUCUUUGCAUGAUCCUACACAUAUGGGUCUUAGUGCAUUAGCAAAAGGACAAAGAUGACCUCCAUGGGACCUAUAGUCAAUUGCAAAGGUUAAUAAUACCUUCAGACGCUUAAGCAUUGCAGCUGAAUUGUUCCAGGUGCCAUCAAGCAAAAUGAAAUGCAAAGUUGAAUCCUCAUAUCCCUGGGAAAUAGAAAGUGUAGCGAUCAAUGAAUACAUUUUCAUUCUAUAUCCUUGUCGAACUUUUAUGUUGAACAUAAGCAUAAGAGUAUAAGACUAAAGAACAGAGACACUAUACAUAAACAAUGAUAUUGCAAUCAUUACCAUGGAUGAUCCAGGAUUCUCUGAAGUUGAAUCACCAAAAGCGUUUUCAACAGACAACGUGAGUUCCGAGUUCUGGUUGGGAUAAAGGCAACGGACAUGGCUUUUUCCUGAACAUCCAUCACAAAAAAAAAAGCUUUUAGCAAAACCAGUUAUUUAUAAAUAAAUGCAACUGAACUUGCAGGGAUCCAAGACUAGUAGAAUCAAACACCUGCACGCUUAAACUCAUCCCACAUGAUCUCUUCAUCUUCAGCUAUUCCAAAGAUGCAAAGUGAAGCAGAGUGUACACCAAAUACUUGCCACAACAAUUUCCCUGUGUUGUUCUGCCGCAGAAAAUCCUGUUAACAGCAUAACAUCUUCUCAAUACAUAGUAAUACCAACUCAAAACGAAUAAGGGAGACCGAUACUAACCCUAGGAUGCAUAUAGAGCCAAAACCGUAUACUUUUCCAUAAACCACAGGGCUUGAUGUUAGAACACAUGCAAUCCUCCAUAGCAAGCCAACACUGCAAACACAAAAUCAGUAAAAAUUGAGUUCAUAUUCAUGGAACUAGAAUCACAAAGCAAAUGAAGAAGACUAAAAGUGAAAUUACCUUCUGGCACAAAUAACCUCUGCUCCCAAGCAGCCUACAAGCAACUUGCCGAGCAGAGAAAAAACGAAACUUCUUCUCAGGGUCAUCUAAUGCUUCAUAUGUAGCCCUAUGCUUCUUAUCCUCAUACGCACCAAACGCUCCCUGAGAUAGAGUUUCAACACAAGUAUAAUAUUAAUAACCUAUCCAACAUUUAAGAGAGCACACAUUGUUAAGAGAAAUGUAGAACAAAUCAAUUAAACGUUCAUUGAUGAUGAUAAGAAUUAUGUUACAAGCUUGAGUGAGCUCUUGUGAAUCUAAUCUCUAGACACCUUCCUAAAGCACAAACGCAUACUAUAUUCUUAAGUCACUUAUCUUCUAGAAGCAUUCUCCCACGUCACUGUCUUCUAGAAGCUCAAACCAAAACGGCUUUUGGAUCAGCUCCACACCUUAACUUACUAAUUUAAAACACAAAACGAUUUGAAAUGAACCAAAGCGACAACGUUUCAUCAUCAUCAUCGGCGGCUAACUCUACCUGUAACUUGCCACCAUUUCCACCGAACUCAAUCUGCGCAUCCACCUUAAGCUCAAGAACCUUCAGAUCAUUCACAAUCUGUUUGACCGCCGCUGGUAACGGAGAAACCGCUCCCCAUCUCCGCCACUCCUCUUCCGUGACGACUCCGUCGUCGCAACAGCCUGAUUCCCUGGAACGAGCUUGCGAGCUAACGGAAUUCAUAACUAAUCUCCGGCCAAUGCCUCCAAGUUGACGGCGGCGGAUGCGGUAGCUAGAGAGUAGAGAAGGAGAGGAGAAGUCGAGCGCAGAAGAAGCUCCGGCCAAACAACGCAUCGUGUUCAACUUUGGGUUUAUCGAGGAAUAAAGUUUCAUCGUUUAACGAAACCAAGGCCCAAUGGGCUUAUAACAUUAUUUAUUUAAUAUUCAGAUCAUUAUUUUUUUCGUUUGUUAUCUUCUUCACAUAUUAUUCUUUUCCUGGAUAUUAUUACAUUUGAGGUCUGAGAAGAAUCUCAGGAACAGAACCUAUUGUGUGUGUUUCUUGUUUCUCUCUCUCUCUACAAUGGCUGCUUUCGCGUGUACUACUCGUCCGCCGAUUUCUCUCCGGUCAGAGAUGAGGAUCGCAUCCUCAACGAAAGUUUCACUCUCCACUCGACAAAUGUUCUCCGUGGGAGGAUUGAGGACUCGCGUCUCUCUAUCAUCGGUCUCCAAGAAUUCUAGCGCUUCUCGAUUACGACGACGAGGAGGGAUCAUCAUCUGUGAAGCUCAGGACACUGCUACAGGGAGUAUGUUUGUUAUCUCUCAUAAUGCGUUUGUUUUGGUUGAAGAUUCUCAAGUGUUGAACUUUCUAUCGAAUUGCAGACAUUUGAGUUAUAAAAUUGGAGAAAGUUUGCAUCUUUGGAUCUAAUGUUGAAGUAGAUAUGUAAACUGAGAUGUUUGCUUAUUGUAUAGCACUCACAUACUGAUUCAAGGAGUAGUUUAGCUUUGAUUGUUUGGUUGGUUAAUGACAUGGCUAAAGAAUCAUCACUUGCUGAUAAUUGUAGCUUUAAUCUUACAGAGAGCCUUAUCGUUUAGUUAAUGCCGCUUUGAAUCACUGUACUUUUUACUUGUUUGCAAAAAACCAACUUCAAAUGGUCGUUAUGUAAACAUUAUUUCGUUAUCCCUUCAUUGUUUGUUUGCUUUGGACCAUAAUGACCAUUUGAAGUUGGUUUUUGUUAUUGUGUCUUUGCAGUUCCAAUGGUGAACGAUUCAACAUGGGAGUCUCUAGUACUCAAGGCUGAUGAGCCUGUUGUUGUGGACUUUUGGGCACCAUGGUGUGGACCCUGCAAAAUGAUUGAUCCCAUUGUCAACGAACUAGCACAGCAGUACACUGGGAAGAUCAAGUUCUUCAAACUAAACACUGACGAUUCUCCGGCGACCCCGGGAAAGUACGGUGUGAGAAGCAUACCAACCAUCAUGAUCUUCGUUAAGGGAGAGAAGAAGGAUACGAUCAUCGGUGCAGUGCCUAAAACCACAUUAGCAACAAGCAUUGAUAAAUUCUUGCAGUGAAGCAUGUGGAUGGAUCACUCUCUUUUAUUUCUCUAUGUGUAUUUGGACUUAACUUAUCUACUACUCCUUCUCAUUUAGACAUGUAUAAUGAUAAUAAUAUAAUGUUGGGUUUAAGAAAUCGUGUUUAUGAUGGUGACUUUAUCUACACGGUUUGAGUUGUUGUCGGAGUCAACAAACUAAUCCUAUUAUUUAAUUUCCAUGCUUGGCAAGCUAAGUCAUUUUCUUGUUCGGAUCAAAUAGUAUGGUUGCUACCCCCAAUUUUCUUGACAAAUCUCAAAACUUCAGGAUCAUCUCUUUUCUUCCUCUCGCAUCUACUGGAUUUCAAAACGUUUUAAGGUAGUCUUUGGGAGUUUCAUGUUUAAAAAGCUUAUGGUAGUAUUUGUCAACGUCUAUGAUCUAAUCUCUGGAUCUUGUUUAUAAUAAACAUGUGCUUGUCAAAUCUUAUCAUCAUGUCUCUUGGUUUCUUACAGAGAUUAAAUCUUACUUGGAUAUGGCCUUGGGAUCUGCUGUUUCACCAAAUGGUUCACAACCAAUUCUCUUGAGUGUUUCACCGCCUUACAGAAGAAGACCUAGCCGGCGAAAGACAGAAACUUCGAAGGAUGGUAUCAAAACUCUCAGGUGGACUGCAACAAUUGUAGCAACUCUGACGUUUGUUAUAUAUUACAUAUGUACAAAGCUUUACAUCAGUUCUGCUCCAGAUUUAAGCAUCGCAGGUUUUAUCAAAACAGCAGUGUUCGCGGUUUGUAUGCUGUGCAACACCGUUCCAAUGAUUUUUUUCUGUUGAAGCUAUAGUUCAUCUUACCCGGCCAGAACGUCCGAGUGGUUUUGGUUUCAAAGUUGAAGCUAAGAUAGGAGCCUUUGCACUUGUAACAGUUAGUUUUGUGUCUAUAUUGGUUGCUUUUAUGGUCGGAGUUUGUCUUGUGGUGAUCCUUCGUAUAUGGCAUUACUUCUUCUAUGUUUAAGCACAUUAGUGAUUGGUUUUGUAAACAGUUUCCAUGAUUAGACACAUUCAAUGAAUAAAAGGAUAGCCAUGAUCCAAUGAGGACCAAAUUGUCAUCAACUUAAAUUUAGUGGGUCAUUUCAUAAUUUUGAAUAGUUUCUAAAGUCGAAGUCGUCGCCGUUGCAAAAAGAAAAACAAUCAACUACUAGGGAUAUUAAAACUGGUAUGUCCUGCACGUUUAUGUCCGUUAAGAGCAUGUUUACAUUUUUUUAAAAAUUGCUUGCUCCGUAUUUCUCAGUUAAGAAUUACUCAAGUCUCCCAGCAAUCUGUCAAAUGUAUCAGCUAAAAUACAAUAGUCCAUAAACUUAACAUUGCUUAAUCAAGUCAACGAACUAAACCUAUUAUUCAAUUUCCUUCCUUGGCAAGCUAAAGCAUCUCUGGUGAUUGGUACGCACAUUCAGAGUUUUUUCUUUCUUAUUUGAUCAAGUCAAUUUGCUUGGAAAAUUUCAUAACUGCAUCAUCGACUAGCUUUUAAAACGUCUGAGGUAAUCUUCAUCAUCAUCUUUUUGUAUUUGUCGACGUCUAUGAUCUAACUUUUGAAUCUGGCUUUUAGAAACAUGUGCUUGUCAUCAGAUCUUAUCAUCAUGUCUCUUGAUUUCUUACAGAGAUUUAAUCAACUUGGAUAUGGCCUUGGUGGGUGGUAUCAAAACUCUCAAGUGGACUGUAAAAAUUGUGUUAACUUUGACAAUUGUUAUAUAUUACACAUGUACUAAGCUUUACAUCAGUUCUGCUCCAGGUUUAAGCAUCACAGGUUUUGUCAAAACAGCAGUGUUCAUGGUUUGUAUAUUGAGCAACACCGUUCUAAUGUUUUUUUCUCCAUGAUCUUCGUUAAGGGAGAGAAGAAGGAUACGAUCAUCGGUGCAGUGCCUAAAACCACAUUAGCAACAAGCAUUGAUAAAUUCUUGCAGUGAAGCAUGUGGAUGGAUCACUCUCUUUUAUUUCUCUAUGUGUAUUUGGACUUAACUUAUCUACUACUCCUUCUCAUUUAGACAUGUAUAAUGAUAAUAAUAUAAUGUUGGGUUUAAGAAAUCGUGUUUAUGAUGGUGACUUUAUCUACACGGUUUGAGUUGUUGUCGGAGUCAACAAACUAAUCCUAUUAUUUAAUUUCCAUGCUUGGCAAGCUAAGUCAUUUUCUUGUUCGGAUCAAAUAGUAUGGUUGCUACCCCCAAUUUUCUUGACAAAUCUCAAAACUUCAGGAUCAUCUCUUUUCUUCCUCUCGCAUCUACUGGAUUUCAAAACGUUUUAAGGUAGUCUUUGGGAGUUUCAUGUUUAAAAAGCUUAUGGUAGUAUUUGUCAACGUCUAUGAUCUAAUCUCUGGAUCUUGUUUAUAAUAAACAUGUGCUUGUCAAAUCUUAUCAUCAUGUCUCUUGGUUUCUUACAGAGAUUAAAUCUUACUUGGAUAUGGCCUUGGGAUCUGCUGUUUCACCAAAUGGUUCACAACCAAUUCUCUUGAGUGUUUCACCGCCUUACAGAAGAAGACCUAGCCGGCGAAAGACAGAAACUUCGAAGGAUGGUAUCAAAACUCUCAGGUGGACUGCAACAAUUGUAGCAACUCUGACGUUUGUUAUAUAUUACAUAUGUACAAAGCUUUACAUCAGUUCUGCUCCAGAUUUAAGCAUCGCAGGUUUUAUCAAAACAGCAGUGUUCGCGGUUUGUAUGCUGUGCAACACCGUUCCAAUGAUUUUUUUCUGUUGAAGCUAUAGUUCAUCUUACCCGGCCAGAACGUCCGAGUGGUUUUGGUUUCAAAGUUGAAGCUAAGAUAGGAGCCUUUGCACUUGUAACAGUUAGUUUUGUGUCUAUAUUGGUUGCUUUUAUGGUCGGAGUUUGUCUUGUGGUGAUCCUUCGUAUAUGGCAUUACUUCUUCUAUGUUUAAGCACAUUAGUGAUUGGUUUUGUAAACAGUUUCCAUGAUUAGACACAUUCAAUGAAUAAAAGGAUAGCCAUGAUCCAAUGAGGACCAAAUUGUCAUCAACUUAAAUUUAGUGGGUCAUUUCAUAAUUUUGAAUAGUUUCUAAAGUCGAAGUCGUCGCCGUUGCAAAAAGAAAAACAAUCAACUACUAGGGAUAUUAAAACUGGUAUGUCCUGCACGUUUAUGUCCGUUAAGAGCAUGUUUACAUUUUUUUAAAAAUUGCUUGCUCCGUAUUUCUCAGUUAAGAAUUACUCAAGUCUCCCAGCAAUCUGUCAAAUGUAUCAGCUAAAAUACAAUAGUCCAUAAACUUAACAUUGCUUAAUCAAGUCAACGAACUAAACCUAUUAUUCAAUUUCCUUCCUUGGCAAGCUAAAGCAUCUCUGGUGAUUGGUACGCACAUUCAGAGUUUUUUCUUUCUUAUUUGAUCAAGUCAAUUUGCUUGGAAAAUUUCAUAACUGCAUCAUCGACUAGCUUUUAAAACGUCUGAGGUAAUCUUCAUCAUCAUCUUUUUGUAUUUGUCGACGUCUAUGAUCUAACUUUUGAAUCUGGCUUUUAGAAACAUGUGCUUGUCAUCAGAUCUUAUCAUCAUGUCUCUUGAUUUCUUACAGAGAUUUAAUCAACUUGGAUAUGGCCUUGGUGGGUGGUAUCAAAACUCUCAAGUGGACUGUAAAAAUUGUGUUAACUUUGACAAUUGUUAUAUAUUACACAUGUACUAAGCUUUACAUCAGUUCUGCUCCAGGUUUAAGCAUCACAGGUUUUGUCAAAACAGCAGUGUUCAUGGUUUGUAUAUUGAGCAACACCGUUCUAAUGUUUUUUUCUCUUGGCAAAAUAAUUUUUCUUAUCUGGCCAGAACAUCCGGAUGAUCUUGUUUUGAGAGUUGAAGCUAAGCACAUAAAAGCCUUAGCACUUGUCACAGUUACAUUUCUAUCUUUGUUGGUUGCUUCUAGGGUCGGAGUUUGACUUGUGUUGAUCCUUCCUAUAUGGCAUUCCUUCUUCUAUGUUUAGACAUAAGUGACUGUUUCUGAUUUGUAAUACUCAUAUGUUUGGUUUUGUAAACAGUUUCCAUGAUUACACAUUCAAACGAAUAAAUAUUGGCAAAAGAUCAUUACCAUAAUCUAUUGCCAAUCCACAUUUGUCUAGAUAAUUGUUUCUGAUUUAUAACUGUUUCUCUAAUUAAUAAUUAUAUGAAUAAAGCCAUGUUUCCAAUGAGGAGUAAAUUGUCAUCAACUUAAAUUUAGUGGGUCAUUUCAUAAUUUCGAAUAGUUUCAAACAAAUAUAAAAAGACGAGACCUUCUUGCAUGAUCGAUCGAUCCACUGUAUACGAGAGGAUCAAACAUCAACAUCGAAAGAUCGAAUCUUUCUACAAUGGAGAAAGGAGUUCCGGUAGAACUAACUAGAGGGUCUGCUAACUGGGCCAGAGUGGUGGAAGAGAUCGUGAAGCUGGAGAAGAAAACGUUCCCUAAACACGAAUCUCUCGCUCAAACAUUCGACGGAGAGCUCCGCAAGAGAAACGCCGGUUUGCUAUACGUGUCAUCCGACGGAGAGACUUUGGGAUAUGUCAUGUAUGCUUGGCCGUCUUCUCUCUCCGCUUCCAUCACCAAGCUCGCAGGUAUUAGACACAUGUCCACCAACUGUUCGAUGAAAUUACGCAAUGAUGAGCUCGUGGAUAAAAAAAAUUACAACUUAUAGUGAAAUCCUGUUUUAACUGUUUGAUAAAAUAACUUUUAGAAUAUAUUAUAUUGUUAAGAAGACAAGAACACAUACUUAUCAGACAAGCUAAGAGCUAUUACAAUCAGAAAGAAUGUAUUUCAAGAGUACUUUUCAGCGUGUGUUUUUUUUUGUUGGAGUAUGCAGUGAAGGAGAGUUGCAGGAGACAAGGCCAUGGAGAAGCAUUGCUAAGAGCAGCUAUUGACAAGUGCAGAAGCAGAAAGGUACAACGGGUCUCACUUCAUGUCGACCCCACGAGGAUUGCUGCUGUGAAUCUGUACAAAAAACAUGGGUUCCAAGUAGAUUGUCUGGUGAAAAGCUACUACUCGGCAGAUAGGGAUGCUUACAGAAUGUACCUUGAUUUUGAUGACUCUGUUUAGCCAGAAAGAUUUAUUGGGGAUUAUCAAAUCCAUGGUGAAACAUUUGUUUGGAUAGUGAAUCAAUUUUCUUGUACACACUCGUUAAUUACUCUCCACAUCAAUAUACUAAACUAUUUAUUUGCUGUCUACAAUACAUAAUGGAUUUUUUGGGUGCCCAUUAAAACUUUUUUAUGUAAUUUACACUAGCUUUUUGACCAGCGCUAUUUUAUGAUAAAUUUUUUAUUAAUAACUUAACAAAUAUUUUGUUAACUUAUAACAAUUUUGUCUAUUUAAAUCAAUGUUUUUAAAUUCGACCCGAAUCCGCGGUCAAAUCAAUUAAUCUGGUGAUCCGAUAAUUUAUAUUGUCUGAUAAUUAUUCCUUUCUAUGAGCAGAUCAAAAAUGAUAUUUCUAUUUUAUAGCUAAACAGAUUUAUAUUUCUUUCUUCGUAAAAGUUCAAUCUAAAAAAAACUUUCAAAUACCAUGUAUUAAGAUGGCAUUUCUAUUUACUGGUUUUCAACUACAAAUUUUUAACAGAUAAAUUAUAAUAUCUAGAUAUAUUUUAAAUGAAAUUUUUAUUUUCCAAUAAGGGUGGAUUUGACAGAAUUUUCAUAAAUCAUUGAUACAAUAAAGAAGGAUUUAGAACAACUUUUACAAAUACUAGAUUCAAUAAAGUGAGAUUUAGAAAAAAAAAAAUGAAAUUCCUCCAAAUCAUCAAUCCAAUAAGCCACUCUUUGAUCUGGUUUUAUGCUUUUUGAAAAUAAAAAAAGGUCCCACCGAGACUUGAACUCGGGUUACUAGAUUCAGAGUCUAGUGUCCUAACCGCUAGACCAUGGGACCAUUUGUUAACCAAUACUCCAAAUAGUUUUACAAACCAAAAUACAAUGCUCGAGUAUUAUAUGACGAGUGUCACUGGCCCGGAAGCUCUUUUGUGGUGUUACCGUUAUGAAUCAUCUACAUAACUCUUCACAAAGCUUUCUGAUGGGAUUACUGAGAGAGGAAGUAGUGCCUGGGAGGAUUUGUACUGUUAUAUCAAUGCUUUUGAGGAAAAUUGGACAAGCAGAUUUGGCUAUGAAGCUGAUGCAUAGCAAGACUGGGAUUGGUUAUGAGAGGAUGGGUGGUGUCAAGUUUAGAACUUUACUUCAAAGCUUUGUUACUCACUAUUAAAAGAGUUAUACAGUUCAGUCUUUGGUGUGUAUUUGCUUUGUUUGUAACAAAAGAAGCACAAGUUUAUUCCAAUUGAAGUCUUACAAAACCGGAUAAUUUUAGUAAACCGGACCAAAUUUAGAAACUUUUCUGUUGAAAAUGUGCUGAAUACAAAAGGAAGAGAGCACCAUUCAUUUAAAAUGCCUUGAAUUUCUCUGGCGCGCACAUGUGCCAUUAGUUUUGUUAUCUCUCUCUCUCUCUGACUACAAAGAAACCAUUCGUUGAAACCAUUUUCUCAAGCAUUCUUGAUUCCUGUCAAAAUACAAACACACGAAAUGGCACGACAAGAUGCUAAUCCAUUUGCUGAUGAAGAAACCAAUCCUUUUGCGGUAAUGAGCUCUUUGUUUCCUUGAAAUCAAGAAUCAAAUCACUGGUGUUUUCUUCUGUAGUUCUUUUACCCGUUUGAUCUUGAUGUUUUAGGAUAAUACAAGUGUUCCUCGAGCAAGCAACUCCUCCUAUCUCAAGCCGCUUCCACCUGAACCUCAUGAUCGUGGUGCUACCAUCGAUAUCCCUUUGGAUUCCGAAAAGGUAUCUUCAAUAUCUUCUCCAUUUUUUCCUUUCAAUGUUUGCUCAAAAUCUGGUUUCUGUUUGAAGGAUCUUCGAGCUAAAGAGAUGGAGCUUCAGGCUAAGGAGAACGAGUUGAACCGGAAAGAGCAGGUAAGUCUAGCUUCCAUGUUACCCUACAGUUUCCAUGUGAAUUGUAUUGAUCAGUCUUCUUCUUGUUCUUGUCAUCAUGCAGGAGCUGAAAAGAAGAGAAGAUGCAAUAGCCAAAAGUUAGAUAAUCUUCCAUUGAUACUUAUUAAGAUUUUUUAUUGUAGCUAACUGAUACGGUUUUUUUUUGGCAGCUGGAGUUGUAAUUGAGGAGAAGAACUGGCCAGAUUUUUUCCCUCUAAUUCACCAUGACAUCCCUAACGAGAUUCCAAUACACUUACAGAAGAUUCAAUAUGUCGCAUUCACCACAUUAUUAGGUAACGCAAAGGCCACCCUUAGACCGCUGCAACAAAUCCUUGCACCUGUCCAGAGUCAAGUCAAAAGUUAAAACAGACUAAAAUUAUUGAACUAUGCAGGAUUAGUAGGAUGUCUCUUGUGGAAUAUUGUGGCAGUAACUGUAGCUUGGAUCAAAGGAGGAGGUUAUUUACUGUUUUUACUCGAAAUGAUCAGAUUCAUAUUGAUCCUUUUCACUCAUCUCUGAUUCUGAUUGUUAUCAGGUCCCACUAUAUGGCUUAUGUCAAUCAUCUACUUCAUUGCUGGGGUCCCUGGGGCUUACGUCUUGUGGUAUCGUCCUCUUUACCGAGCUUCCAGGUAAAAAUCAGCUCUAUAAGUAAAACAAUCUCUUACAUAUUAAAUGAGUGUCAAUAAUACAAAUGUGUACAUGUACCUGUGCAGAACUGAUAGUGCCCUGAAGUUCGGAACUUUCUUUGUGUUUUACGUGGUAAGAUAAACCGUAUCCCCAUUGGUAGAUUUCCUCUGCAUCAGAGUUCUUUCAGAAAGCCAUGAAAAAACAAAACCACUAUGUUUACACUGUCUUGUACUUUUCAGUUUCACAUUGCAUUCUGUGGCUUUGCUGCAGUUGCUCCACCAGUCAUCUUUCAAGGAAAAUCUCUCACGUAAGAGUUUUCUUCUUAUAUGAAAAGCAUUUGUUACAACCUCUCCAUUACACUCUUUACUCAAUUGUCUUACAACCUCUCUGAGGGAGUCCAUCUGAUUCCAUGUAUUGUUUGGUUUGGUGGACAGAGGUUUCUUGCCAGCACUUGAGCUUCUAACUACUAAUGCGGCGGUCGGAGUAAGUAUUUUACUUCUGUUCAUUUACAAGUGCUUACCUUACCAAUAUGUUUUCUCCCUCAUAGAUAUUGUAUUUCAUUGGGGCGGGGUUCUUCUGCAUCGAAACACUUCUCAAUAUCUGGGUGAUUCAGCAAGUAUAUGCCUACUUCCGAGGGAGCGGCAAAGCUGCACAGAUGAAACGCGAAGCUGCAACUUCGACCUUGAUGCGUGCGCUAUGAAAGGCAAACACUCUUCACUUUAGAAUGUAUCAACGGUGGCUUGAGGUCUAGGCUGACAAUUUUUUUUUUUGUUGGAAUUACUUUGUAAAGACUAAAUCAAGUAGUACAUGGGGAGAUCUCAAGCCGAAACUGUGUUGUUCAAUUGUCUAAUGAGAGUCAAUCCAGCUCUGUGCAAUAGUUUUUGCUACUCCUCUCUUCUCACCAUUAACCUACGAACCUUGAGUGCAUCACCAUGGCGACCUAUCCACUUGUACAUGUUACUUAGAAGUUGUCCUUUCUGACAGUAUCCUCCAAGUAAGGCAGACCAAGAUACCGUGUUCUUCUUAGACAUCCCAUUGAACACUUGCCUAGCUUCCCCCGAUCCGCAUUUACCAUACAUAUCCAAAAGACUACUCUCCACAACAAUCACCCGUUUUGUGAAAGUGUGUUACUAUAUAAUACUUUUCUGGUGGUGUAGAAAUAUAUAGUUUACCGAAAAAGGUUUAACUAAUUUCUGGAAAAACAAAUCAGACCUUUUUGUCCGAAAAUAUUGGGUUUCUCUAGGCCGAAUAUGUAAGUGAAGUGGCAUUUAUAUUGGGUUCAAAGUAGAAGCCCAAUUAGUAACUUUGAUAACCAAAAAAAACCCUCGCCGUUGCCGGGGAUCGAACCCGGGUCACCCGCGUGACAGGCGGGAAUACUUACCACUAUACUACAACGACUUUGUUGUUAGCAGCAUUAGAAAGAGCAUUAGGAAACCUCUGUUCAGACGUUAAAGCGAAGCGUUGUUAAUGGCGUUUCUUAACAAAACAAAUCAGACCUUUUUGUCCGAAAAUAUUGGGCUUCUCUAGGCCAAUAUACUUACCACUAUACUACAACGACUUUGUUGUUAGCAGCAAUACAAAGAGCAAUAGAAAACCUUUAUUCAGACGUUAAUAAGGCCAAACGUUGUUAAUGGCGUUUCUUAUAGAGGGGAUGCCCUUAACGCACACCCAGAAAGAAAAAGGGUCACAUUUUGGGCCUAUAAAACCAAAUUCCUUAUAUCUGAUAUUGGAUCAGAUUAGAUAAAUGGAUUAGUUGAGUUGGACAAUGGUUUUGAAAUUAAGCGGAUUGAUUAAACCGCGGUUAAAAAGGCGUUUCUGGUCUGGUUACAUAAAUGGAUUAGUUGAGUUGGACAAUGGUUUUGAAAUUAAAACAAGGGACUGUGUUAUUUAAACAGUGGGAGAAAGAGGAACCGGUCAGCAUCAGUGGACGACGACUACGACUUUCUUAUCAUCAUUAAAGAUCUCUCUCCAUCCUUCUUCUCCAACAUCGAAAAAUGGCUUCUCACUCUUCUACUACUCUCUUCACUUCUUCUCCUACAUUUGCUCCCUUCUCCUCUCACCAAAUUCUCCCACCCAGUCUCUCUACCGUCCGUUUCUCCCGACCAAUCAAUACCAAACCCAAUCAUCACUCCCUCCGUUGUUCCGUCUCGAUCGAGAAAGAAGUCCCCGAGACAGAACGACCCUUCACAUUCCUCAGAGAUUCCACUCACUCUUCUUCAGUCAGGGCUCGUUUCGAAGCCAUGAUUAGAGCUGCUCAAGACAGCGUCUGCGAGGCCAUCGAAGCCGUCGAAUCCGGUCCGAAGUUCAAAGAAGAUGUCUGGUCUCGACCCGGCGGAGGCGGAGGGAUCAGCCGCGUGUUGCAGGAUGGGAAUGUGUUCGAGAAAGCUGGGGUUAAUGUCUCUGUUGUGUAUGGUGUUAUGCCUCCUGAAGCUUAUAGGGCUGCUAAAGGCUCUGCUUCUUCUGAUCAGAAACCUGGUCCUGUUCCCUUCUUCGCCGCCGGUGUCAGCUCGGUAACACCAUCUCUCUCUCUCUCUUUAUCAAUCUCUCUCUAGUUUACAGAAAGGUCAAGUCUUUAUGUGAUUCUUGUAGGUCUUGCAUCCCAAGAACCCUUUUGCCCCAACUCUGCAUUUCAACUAUCGAUACUUCGAGACUGAUGCUCCAAAGGGUAAGUGUAAAAAGUGUAAAAGUUACAGUCUUUUUUUUUUUUUUGGAUAGUAGAUUAGUAGUAUUGAUUUUUUUUGUCAAUGUGCAGAUGUUCCUGGAGCUCCGAGGCAGUGGUGGUUUGGUGGUGGAACUGACUUCACGCCAGCUUACAUCUUUGAAGACGAUGUCAAGCAUUUCCACACGGUCUGAGACCUUAUUCCUUUCUUGAGCUUUGUGAUUUGAUGGAGUUUUUGCUCUUAUUAUUAUAAAGCUUGUAUCUUUCUUUGUUGUUAGAUUCAAAAGCAAGCGUGUGACAAGUUUGACCCUUCCUUCUAUCCUCGGUUCAAGAAAUGGUGUGAUGACUACUUUUACAUCAAGGUAAUGUCUAGGAACAGCGCAGAGACUAAGAGUCUUUUUUUCAUAAGCCUGUUGUAUUGUGUUUAAGGACGCUUUGAUCUUUUGCUUGCAGCACCGUGAUGAGAGACGAGGACUUGGAGGGAUAUUCUUUGAUGAUCUUAAUGACUAUGAUCAGGAAAUGCUUCUGAAAUUCUCCACUGGUAAAUGACUAAUUCUUCAAAAUAUUAUGAUGUUAGUGUGUUCUUGGUAGACUAAUUUUUAAGUUGAUUUUGGGAUUUUCACAGAAUGUGCGAACUCGGUUGUACCGGCUUAUAUACCUAUAGUAGAGAAAAGAAAAGACAUGGAAUUUACAGAGAAGCACAAGGCAUGGCAACAGUUGAGGAGAGGGAGAUAUGUUGAAUUCAACUUGGUAUUAUAAUAACAUCCACUAGCUUUUAUGAGCCUUGGUACUUUGUUAGUGAGCCUCUAAUGUGUGUCUUGUAUUGAUUUUGAAAGGUAUAUGAUCGUGGGACGACGUUUGGUCUAAAGACAGGAGGGAGAAUAGAGAGCAUUCUUGUCUCUCUUCCACUGUCAGCAAGAUGGGAAUAUGACCAUGUAAGUUCCUUUUCCCAUUUGUGAAAGACACACUAAGUCCUAAAUCAUAACUCAUUAGGCUAUAUAUUACAAGUGUAGUAGUAACUGUGUUUUGUUGGGUGUAGAAACCGGAAGAGGGGACAGAGGAGUGGAAGCUAUUGGAUGCGUGUAUCAACCCCAAGGAGUGGAUAUAGCUUGUGGUGAGGGCUUGAGUGAGUUUGUUUUCAUUGUUUUGAGUUUUGAGCAGCUUUAGAGAGAUUAGAGUAAUGAAGAGAUGGAUAAAGGGAGAGUUUGUAAGGUGACUGUGUAUGUGAAACAUGCGUUUGAAACGCUGUCGUUAUGUUUUAUAGAAUCCAAGCUUAAGACAACCAUGGUUUAUAAGCGUAUGAAUCACUAAGAAAAGAUGACACCAUCACUAGAAUACGAAAGAGAACAAUAAAAAAGCGAUUAAGAUAUAAAUACUGAUUAAGAGCCUUUGAUCCUAAACACUUGCUGCAAGCUUCACAUCUUCCACUGUCUAGGAUCAUGGUCUUGUAAAACUCAUAUGAAUAUGGAUAAGUACAUCAAUCUAUAAUUAGUGCAAAAUUUAAACACCAUUAAACGUGAUAGGCGUUUAAAGCCAAGAUUAACUAGCAUUAUUAUUUUUCUUCAUUGUUUUUGUUCCUAUUAUUCACACUAUAAGCAUGGAAAGUUGAAUCCUGUUUUGCCAUAUUCCUACUUAACAUCAGAAACAACUAUUCACAGCAUGGAUUAAUUACCAUUAACAUCCUUACAAACUUGUUGAAAAAGAGAAAAACAGGAUUCAGUUUUCUUACAUUCAUCAAGUUUUAUUUUACUUAAUUGUUUAUGUUUUUUUUUUUCCCAAAUUGAAAUUCAUUCAUAACUGAAGUACGACAGUUCAAUACAUAAGCUGGCGGAUACAAAACAUCCCCAGAGAUAAGAGCCCAAAGAACAGGCAGCUAGAACCCACACCGGAGUAACUUUUGAACACCAACUUAACAAGCAAAAUAACAAUACAUAACUACACAAAAGUAUGCAACAAACAGUGCAAAAGACCUCCAAGCUAAAUAGCAGGUAACGAGAAUCUGGAUAUAUCGAUGCUGCACUUGGCACGCCACACGAUACCAUCCACUUGUAGAACCCGAAGACCCCAUCGCGCCUUCUCAACCCGGAUCUAUCGCUGCCGCCUAUGGCCUGCCAAACGAUACCAUCCCCACUCGUAACUCAGAACCAAGACUUCAUAACCCAACUAGAGAGAUCGCUUCACAAUCCAAACAUCUCUCGGAUACGGCUUGAACGCACUCUUUGACGCCCACUUUUGCAUCUAGAUAGAAGUCCAACAAAACCUCCACACAACCAAGCUUCGCCGCUCACAUCUGAAAACCAGAAUAAACAAUAACACACCAAAACGACGAAAGAUUCUUGCAACCACCAUAACCCGGAGAUAAUUUUGCAACUGAAUAUGUCGCUGCACUAACCACCGAUAGACUCCAAGAACCAACACCAUGAAACACGCAUGACAAUACCAUGAAACACGCAGGAGGAACCAACAGGUACACCACAGCUAAGAUAAUCUGCCUACCAGAAACUCCAUAAACAAAACCAUAACUAAGAGAAAUAGAAAAAGAUCCAGAAGCUGUCCACAUCGGAAUCGUCACCGAGCUGUCGCGAGACCACCAAUAAUAGAUGAGAGGAAGAAGCACAAACACCAACUGUUGCCGGUGCUGGUUCGCAGUGACAGACGAUCUCGAGAAACAAGGGCACACACCACCGUCUGAGAGAGAAGGGCGAGAAGCUUCCCAACCCAAAGAUAGGUAUGAGAAGAAGCUACGGUGGGAGCUCCGACGAAACUCAUCCACCGUCUUUCUCUUCACCCUGCCGCCAUGGAUCUGUAAGAUAUAUCCACAUCUAGUCCAACAACUAGAUCCGGAGGCUAUAUGUCUAGCCGGAUAUAUGAGCCCUCUCCGAAAGUAGAACUGAAGAGAAAAUCGCUUCGUUAACCAUAGCCGACCCCUCCUUACCCUCACCUAAACAAAAUCUCAUUUUUUCACCAGAUCUAACAUCUGAGAAGCGGAUCCACACCAAAUUCAAAUCCAGAGAAAAAGAUAUAUCGAUUCAUGAUGAGAGAAGCAAGGAGAGGCAAAACGAAAGAGGAAACUAGGGGUUCCGGCACCGGCGCUACUCGCCACCACCGGAAAAGCAAGGGUCGUAGAGGUUGUCUGCAAGGUGAAAAGAUGAGCAUAAUUGUUUAUGUUUCU